CCGUUUACACACUACUCUCCUCUCUCAACAUUCCUUAACUACCUUAUCCUUUACAUCUAUCUUUCUACCCUAACCCCAAACUCAAAAACACAGACAUCAACAAAAAACAAAUUGCAGACAUAAUCCACUCCCCCUCUCUCUCUCUCGAUCCACACUUUAACCCCACAUCUGGUCCCUACUUCUCCUUCUCUGGCGAAAACCAGCAAAACCACUAGAGCCACCGGCCGGUUGCCGGUCAUUGGGUCUCCAGUGGUUCAACCCGUCGGCAUACAACCCCCCUCGACUUCUCGGUAAACCACACCUCAAAUCAUCAUCUUCCACCUGUUACACACAUACUGAGAUUAGAACGGACGAGCUUGAGUAGAGACAGAGAGAGAGAGAGAGAGAGAGAGAGAGAGAGAGAGAGAGAGAGAUCGGGAGAAGAGGGGAACGGCAAGGUCGCGUGCGGCGGCGGUAGCGGACGUCGGCGACGGCGAGGUGGUGAUGUUUUGUUCGAGUUGACGAGUAUUCCGAUUCAGGACGUGUAUCAAGUUCGGGUCAGAUUUGAUAAGUGCUCGAGUCAGAUUUGAUAAGUGCUCGAGUCAGAUUCAAGUCGUUUGGAGUCUCGGGUUUGGUCAACAGAAAUUCCGAGUCAGUUCGUAACGACAAACGAUGGUGAUAGAGAUGAUGACCGAUAAUGAUGAUGGUGUGAACAUCAGUUGAUGAUGAAGUUCGAGUUUUCAAGUUUGUUUGGAUGUUCGGGUUAAAUACAAGUCAAACUCAGCCAACACCAGGUCGACUCAGUCAACGCCGGGUCAACUCAAGUCAAACAGGUCAGCCGAGUCCACCCGGUCAACUCGGUCAAACCCGAGUUAACUCGGGUCAACAACUGGUCAAACUUUAGUUUCGGCCAGUUUCGGGUGUCACGGAUUCUGGUCAGCGGUUCGGGUCAACUAUAGUCAACUGGUCAGCCGCGGUUCGGGUGCGGUUCGACGAGCCAGAUUUUGGUUCAGUUCGACUUGGUCAGUCAACGGUCAAACUCGGUCAACUGAGGUCAAUCUCAGUCAACACGAGACGCGGGAAAGAUUUAAUUGACGCGAAAUUCUGAAAUUAUUGUUAUAGAUUGUAGAUUUUUAGAUUACGCGACCGAGCUUGACCCGUUUCAAUUUAGUAUUAGUUUAUAUUUAUUAUACUUGACGUGAAAUUUAUAUAUAUUGGUUGUUGAAAAA
Helianthus annuus (common sunflower) is the source of this 1208-nucleotide long non-coding RNA. RefSeq lists it as uncharacterized. The record is from RefSeq and is a predicted model, not a curated record. Lineage: Eukaryota; Viridiplantae; Streptophyta; Magnoliopsida; Asterales; Asteraceae. The transcript has 2 exons.